UACGUAGGUCCCGAGCGUUGUCCGGAUUUAUUGGGCGUAAAGCGAGCGCAGGUGGUUUAUUAAGUCUGGUGUAAAAGGCAGUGGCUCAACCAUUGUAUGCAUUGGAAACUGGUAGACUAGAGUGCAGGAGAGGAGAGUGGAAUUCCAUGUGUAGCGGUGAAAUGCGUAGAUAUAUGGAGGAACACCGGUGGCGAAAGCGGCUCUCUGGCCUGUAACUGACACUGAGGCUCGAAAGCGUGGGGAGCAAAUAGG
Molecule: ribosomal RNA, 252 nt
Filed under: uncultured bacterium
Lineage: Bacteria
Description: partial 16S ribosomal RNA
Rfam family: Bacterial small subunit ribosomal RNA
Source: RNAcentral